GACGAACGCUGGCGGCGUGCUUAACACAUGCAAGUCGAACGGAAAGGCCCUGCUUUUGUGGGGUGCUCGAGUGGCGAACGGGUGAGUAACACGUGAGUAACCUGCCCUUGACUUUGGGAUAACUUCAGGAAACUGGGGCUAAUACCGGAUAGGAGCUCCUGCUGCAUGGUGGGGGUUGGAAAGUUUCGGCGGUUGGGGAUGGACUCGCGGCUUAUCAGCUUGUUGGUGGGGUAGUGGCUUACCAAGGCUUUGACGGGUAGCCGGCCUGAGAGGGUGACCGGCCACAUUGGGACUGAGAUACGGCCCAGAGUCCUACGGGAGGCAGCAGUGGGGAAUAUUGCACAAUGGGCGGAAGCCUGAUGCAGCAACGCCGCGUGCGGGAUGACGGCCUUCGGGUUGUAAACCGCUUUCGCCUGUGACGAAGCUUGAGUGACGGUAAUGGGUAAAGAAGCACCGGCUAACUACGUG
Molecule: ribosomal RNA, 468 nt
Filed under: uncultured bacterium
Lineage: Bacteria
Description: partial 16S ribosomal RNA
Rfam family: Bacterial small subunit ribosomal RNA
Source: RNAcentral